Molecule: ribosomal RNA, 253 nt
Filed under: uncultured bacterium
Lineage: Bacteria
Description: partial 16S ribosomal RNA
Rfam family: Bacterial small subunit ribosomal RNA
Source: RNAcentral
UACGUAGGGGGCGAGCGUUGUCCGGAAUCAUUGGGCGUAAAGAGCGUGUAGGCGGCUCGAUAAGUCUGCUGUGAAAGUCCAGGGCUCAACCCUGGAAGGCCGGUGGAAACUGUCGGGCUAGAAUCCGGAAGAGGCGAGUGGAAUUCCCGGUGUAGCGGUGAAAUGCGCAGAUAUCGGGAGGAACACCAAUUGCGAAGGCAGCUCGCUGGGACGGUACUGACGCUGAGACGCGAAAGCGUGGGGAGCAAACAGG